CAAAAAACAAACAAAACAAAACAAAAGCUAAAAGAAGAAAAGAAGACGGCGUGGGAACUGGGAAGGAAGUGGAAAGAGCAGGGAAACGCGGGCACGAGCAAGUCCCAAUUAGUAAAUACACGCCAAGAAAUCCAAUCAAUUAGUGUUGCUCAGGGUAAGGACUUGAACGAUAGAAACCACUCAGUCAUUUCUACAAUUCCGCACCGCCGAUCAAAGAUGAAUGUAUUUGCAACCCGAUCGAAAAUUGUAAGUUCCUUCGUUUCCCAAGGUGCAAUGCGAUAUGCAAGGUAAAUGUUCAAUCCGGUAAUUAGUUGCCUGCUAUCCUUUGAUUAUGAAUGUAGAAUUCGUAGUAUAGUUGCUUAUUUGAAUUAGCCCUAGAUACUUAUUUGUUACGUAGUAACUCCCGGUAAUUUAUCAUCGUCUCUGUGUGUGUGUGAAUUUGAAGGGGGCUAAACCAGCCCUGUCACCUCUACCAUGCAAGGGGAUUGCUUUGUCACUAGGGCAACCACCAAGUGCCUUUUUCAGGUUUUUUCCGCACGAAGUGCGACAUGUUUGCAGAAUAUUAACUCUGAAACUGCAAUCAAAUGUAUGUUACUCUCCACUUCCAAAGGGGCAGAAUAGAUAAUCAAAAUUUUAAACCAAAUUGAUAACAGAUUCUGUUCUCGUUUCUUGCACCGUCAAUUUGCUGUAUCAUGUUUUUUCUAUAAAUGUGUGUCUGAUUGUAUAUGUUGGAGUGUAAACUAGGUUUUUGGCAGUGGUACAGACUAGGUCUGCUUUGUAUCUGUAAACCCAAAAGGAAGAGUUUUCAUGGCUCACAGCACUCCAAGAAAGACGGAUUCCUGACCUUUGGGUGCUGAGUAGUCUACGCAACUUGGCACUUGAUCAUUACUUGAUCUAUCACGAAGCAAUCCAUCGGUGCAUGAUAUUUUACAUUGAGAACUCAUGACCUCCCUAUUGGAGGUUUCUUCGCAGUUUCCCUUUCUGUUGGAAGUAUAAAGCAAUGGACAUGGACUACAACUAUGCAUAAGUAGAUUACAGCUGUGUCACACUAUGGAGGACCAUGACUAAAAGGCAAAAGCUUAGAGAAACUAACUAUGCUACAUAGGUUAGACUUCCAUAUCACAGGUGUUACACAUAUGAACAAAUUUAAAAUAAUUUCCGGUUAGCCAGUUAGAAAUGCUGUCCCUUGUUCAAAGCUGGAAAAGAAAGGAUCGUUUGAAGGGAGAAAGGUCGUCUUACUUUCUUCUUCAUCCAUAACCCACAGCAGGUCUGAAGAAUAGUCCCAAGAAGGAGAUAGCGGACGAGGACAAAAGAAGUUGCAUUCCUCGUCGAUAUGCCUAGCACUAGAAUGGACUGGAUUCUGAACAUCAUCUUCUGACAGGGCAAUAUCUUUCCAUAUGUCAUCCAUAGAGUAACCCUGUUCACCUUCUUGUACUUCCCCUAUCUUGAUGUCUGUUGAGUCAAUCAUAUUAGGCCCUCCUGUAUCAUAAAAGCUUUCUUCUCCACUAUCUUUGGAAGGAUGUGAACCCACAGCGUGAUUAUUUGAUGAUAGUGAAGAAUGACAACUAGAUGUUGGUGGGGUGGCCGCCCGCUUGGUCUCCUGUGCCUUCUUCCUCAUGUAAGUCCUCCAGUAAUUCUUAAUCUCAUUAUCUGUGCGCCCUGGCAAUUUCCGGGCAAUUCUUGACCAUCUGCAUGUGACAAUCACGGAAAGCAGGGAUUUGAGAAAGGAAAGCAAUUCAAAGAAAUUGGAUGAUUAAAUAUAAUAAAGUUGAAGAGCAAAAGACGUGUAGAAAGAAUCUAGGCAGCAACUUUUUCUGCAUAUUCUCAAACCUAUUUCCCCAUUUAGCGUGAAGCUCCAGCACAAGGCGCUCUUCUUGGGGAGUCAUCUUGCCCCGUUUGAGACCAGGAUGCAGGUAAUUAACCCACCGUAACCUGCAACUCUUACCAGUUCUAUUCAAACCUACAACAAAAUUAGGCGGUUAAUGGCUGCUUUUUCUAUAAUCCAGUAUGCCCAAAUAAGCAUACCUAUUACUGUCUCCCGCCACCUUCAAACCUGAAACUUUGGCUAUAAAAUCCCAUCUCCGGUCUCCAAAUAAGCCAACAAAAGAGACUAAUUUGAUGUCCUCCUGUUCUGUCCAAGGACCUUUCCGGAAUUCCUGUUGAACCAUUUUCGUCUGUUUUCCUGAGCUACUCGAAUAAUUCCUUAGAAGGGAACUUACUCCACUCGAUCACUUAUGGGGACCUAUGUCUGCAAAACCUUUAUUUAUAUAUGCUUUGUAUCAGCCCAUGUUAUUAUUUUUAAUUGGCAAAUUUGCAUAUCCCCUACUCAUGUGGUGCACGCGUGCUUAUUCUUACGGUCAAUUUACGAAGCUGUCGUCAGCCAUUAUAGGCAAAUAAACAGACUAAUUGAUCAAUCUGUCCAUGUAAGUUUCAAUGUUAUUUUUCUUUCCAUUACUGCCAUUGUUUACUCACUCGGCAUUCAUCAGACAGUUGUUCUUGGAUCAAUUAUCACUUCAACGUACAGAUUUUGUAGUUAAGAAA
Prosopis cineraria is the source of this 2541-nucleotide long non-coding RNA. RefSeq lists it as uncharacterized. Lineage: Eukaryota; Viridiplantae; Streptophyta; Magnoliopsida; Fabales; Fabaceae. The transcript is spliced from 2 exons. The record is from RefSeq and is a predicted model, not a curated record.